AUUACCCGCUGAACUUAAGCUUAUCAAUAAGCGGAGGAAAGAAACCAACAGGGAUUACCUCAGUAACGGCGAGUGAAGCGGUAACAGCUCAAAUUUGAAAUCUGCCGCAAGGCCGAGUUGUAAUUCGUAGAAGAUGCUUUGGGUAUGGCCCCGGUCCAAGUUCGUUGGAACACGACGUCAUAGAGGGUGAGAAUCCCGUAUGUGACUGGGUGCUUUUGCCUAUGUAAAGCUCUUUCGACGAGUCGAGUUGUUUGGGAAUGCAGCUCAAAAUGGGUGGUAUAUUUCAUCUAAAGCUAAAUAUUGGCCAGAGACCGAUAGCGCACAAGUAGAGUGAUCGAAAGAUGAAAAGCACUUUGGAAAGAGAGUUAAACAGUACGUGAAAUUGUUGAAAGGGAAGCGCUUGCAACCAGACUUGCACGCUGUUGAUCAUCCAGGCUUCUGUUUGGUGCACUCAACUGUGUUCAGGCCAGCAUCGGUUUUGGUGGUGGGAUAAAGGCCUUGGGAAUGUAGCUUCUUUCGGGGAGUGUUAUAGCCCUCGGUGCAAUGCCGCCUACUGGGACCGAGGACCGCGCUUCGGCUAGGAUGCUGGCGUAAUGGUUGUAAGCGACCCGUCUUGAAACACGGACCAAGGAGUCUAACAUCUAUGCGAGUGUUUGGGUGUCAAACCCAUACGCGUAAUUAACGUGAACGGAGGUGAGAACCCUUAAGGGUGCAUCAUCGACCGAUCCUGAUGUCUUCGGAUGGAUUUGAGUAAGAGCAUAGCUGUUGGGACCCGAAAGAUGGUGAACUAUGCCUGAAUAGGGUGAAGCCAGAGGGAACUCUAGUGGAGGCUCGCAGCGGUUCUGACGUGCAAAUCGAUCGUCAAAUUUGGGUAUAGGGGCGAAAGACUAAUCGAACCAUCUAGUAGCUGGUUCCUGCCGAAGUUUCCCU
This 930-nucleotide ribosomal RNA is filed under the name uncultured Ascomycota. Its description in RNAcentral is "eukaryotic LSU rRNA". It matches the Rfam family "Eukaryotic large subunit ribosomal RNA", at positions 20 to 973 of the family's 3401-position model. The record is from RNAcentral. Lineage: Eukaryota; Fungi; Ascomycota.